CGGAGUUAGUAUACAUCGUAUGUCUGAAACUUUGCUGCAAAGACUGAAAUCUUAGUUUGUGUUUGCAGGUGCAUAUUCAAUCUUGGCAUCGAUCUACUAUAUACUAUACUAUACCCGAACAGAUGAUGCAUUGCCAAGACCCUGAAAGUUGGAUUAAUCCAUGUCAAAUCUGAGUGACCAACAAGAUGUUCUUCGCAUGCACGUAUGGGAACAUUCUAGAAGCCCUGUAUACGUGUGAAUGUUCACGGUACCAAGUAGUGCGCUAAUUUGCUAGAAUGUACAUGUUGGCCUGGAUCAGAGGUUCAAAUCUGUAUAAUAUUGCCAUAAGUUGCCCCAAACUUUUCAACGAUUAUUCUUUGGGAUAAAGAAUUAAACCUUUCUUGACAAGCGACAGAAGGCCAGUUUUAGAGUAAGUUCUCAUAACUGUAACUCUCAUACGGUUGAGUUACGACGUCAGGAACCAAUUACAGUCCAUAAGAAUAUAGGACCACUUAAGGCCUGAUUAGAAGAAGGUUUCUAUUUGCCG
RNAcentral lists this long non-coding RNA (526 nucleotides) under Zea mays. Its description in RNAcentral is "drought responsive lncRNA". The record is from RNAcentral. Lineage: Eukaryota; Viridiplantae; Streptophyta; Magnoliopsida; Poales; Poaceae.